Molecule: long non-coding RNA, 252 nt
Organism: Pundamilia nyererei
Lineage: Eukaryota; Metazoa; Chordata; Actinopteri; Cichliformes; Cichlidae
Exons: 4
Source: RefSeq, a predicted model, not a curated record
UGCACUGACAGGGAAACAUUAAACAUUUAAACCAGCUGCAACCUGCAGGAGAGCACAACGCUUAAAGUAAAAGAGUUCAACAAUGUCUCUACUAGUCACGCUGCUUUUGCUGUCGCUGGUUUCUCAGUGUUGGACUGCUCCACAGAGGAGAAACUGGACUUCUCAGGCGAUCCUAUACCUGAAAGGAGCACAGGGACGCCGCUCAUUUUUGGAGCGUGCCAGAAGAGAGGAAGAAAGCACUUUUCACUCAGG